CACCGCGGGUGGAGACGCUCCUGGUUCCUUANGNGGAUUUUGGUCAACCGCUGCGGUAACACACGGGAGACCAGCUUCCGUCCUGGAUCCUCGAGAGGAUGGGGGGACGACGAUUUGUGACACCCAGGCAGACGUGCCCUCGGCCARAAGGCUUGGGGCGCAACUUGCGUUCAAAAACUCGAUGGUUCACGGGAUUCUGCAAUUCACGCCAAGUAUCAAAUUUCKCUACGUUCUUCAUCUAUGCGAUAGCCGAKAUAUCAAUUGCCGAGAGUCAUUUUAAACUUUACGUUGAAUCACUGAUUCCGAACAAACACCGUCUCUUGGUCGUUGAAAGCAGGCUGUUUAUUUGGGUGUACCGUGACACUUUUCGGGCCGGGGUUUGGUGAUAUCCGGAAGCUAUGUGCACAACCAAACCGAAACCGAAKCCUUGAUCAAGGUCGGAACACAUWACCACGGAUUUGGCAGGMAUGKAA
This 473-nucleotide unclassified non-coding RNA is filed under the name Erucastrum littoreum. RNAcentral's name for it is "sequence contains ITS1, 5.8S rRNA gene and ITS2". Lineage: Eukaryota; Viridiplantae; Streptophyta; Magnoliopsida; Brassicales; Brassicaceae. The record is from RNAcentral.